This 354-nucleotide small nuclear RNA is filed under the name Saimiri boliviensis boliviensis (Bolivian squirrel monkey). RNAcentral's name for it is "7SK RNA (ENSSBOG00000012716.1)". The stretch from base 1 to 313 matches the Rfam family "7SK RNA". Rfam says of the family: 7SK was discovered as an abundant small nuclear RNA in the mid-70s but a possible function has only recently been suggested. Two independent studies have found that 7SK RNA binds the CDK9/cyclin T complex (known as elongation factor P-TEFb). The record is from RNAcentral. Lineage: Eukaryota; Metazoa; Chordata; Mammalia; Primates; Cebidae.
GGAUGUGAGGGUGAUCUGGCUGUGACAUCUGCCACACAUUGAUCACCAGGGUUCAUUUGGCUGAUCUGGCCUGCUGGGCAGGUGUCCCCUUCCUCCCUGACCGCUCCAUGUGUGUCCCUCCCAAAGCUGCACACUCAGUCAAAGAGGACAACUAUUCCCGAUAGAGGAGGGACAGUCUUCAGUGAAGGGCACAAAAGUAGCUGCGCUCCCCAGCUAGAACCACCAAACAAGCUCUCAAAGUCUACAUUAUUUAUCCUCAAAUGAUACUGCCUCUCUAAAGAGAAAAUCGAAAAAUUCAGGAAGACUGCUUCUUACAUGUGGCCAGGGCUAUAUGUGGUAGAUAUUCCUUAACCA